CCAUUGGUGGUGAUGUAGAGGGAUAGAGGGGUCAUUGGAGGGGGGUUUGGGGUCAUUGGUUUGGUGUUUGGGGUCACUGGAGGGGAUGUGGGGGGGGUACUGGGGUCAUUGGAGGGGGGUUUGGGGUCACUGGAUGGGGAUUUGGGGUCAUUGGAGGGGGGUUCAUCCCACUGGGUGUGGGAGGCACCCAUGGGUGCUGCAGACCCGGCAGCCAGGAGGUCCAGCUGGGUGCUCUGCGUCCCCCAUGGCCCCAUCCCAAUGUUCCCCCUCCCUAUGUCCCCCUCCCUAUGUCCCCCAUCCCUGUGUCCCCAUGUCCCCAUCCCAAAACAUCCCCAUCCCCAUGUCCCCCAUCCCCACAUCCCCAUCCCAAUGUCCCCUAAUCCCAUGUCCUCCAUCCCCACGUCCCCCAUCCCUGUGUCCCCAUGUCCCUUAACCCCAUGUCCCCAUCCCCACAUCCCCAUCCCAAUGUCCCCUAAUCCCACGUCCCCAUCCCCAUGUCCCCAUCCCAGUGUCCCCUAAUCCCACGUCCCUAUCCCCAUGUCCCCAUCCCAGUGUCCCCCCUUCCCAUCCCCACGUCCCCAUCCCAAUGUCCCCACGUCCCCACAUCCCCCCCCACCUCUCCCCCACCCCCUCGCCCCCAUCCCCGCUCACCCGACAGCGGCUCCUUGGCCUUGCUGCGCGCCUCCUGCCUCCGUCCCCCGCCGUCCCCGUCCCCGUCGGGCGCCCCGUCGGGUUCGGGUGACCCCGGCGAGCGCUCGGCCAGGGACCCCCGACGUCCCUUUGUCCCCAAGGCCAGCCUCAGCAGCGAGCUGCGUUUGGGGACCGGCCGCUCGCUCAGGGUCUCCACGCUGGCUUUGCGCCUCCCCGGCAGCCUCCGCAGGAGCCCGAAAUCCUCCGAACGCCGCCGCAGCCCCCGGGCGCGACCCCCGUCCCCGUCGCCGUCCCCGUCCCCGCUUUUGGGACCGGGGCGGCGAGCGCGGCCGAAGGGUGCCAAGCCCACCAGGCGCUCCAGGGUGGCCCGGCGCCGGUAGCGGCUCUCGGGGCUGGCGGCGAAGGGGUCGCCAUCCUCCUCCUCCUCCUUGGGGGCUUUCUUCAGCAGAGGCAUGGCCUGGGGGCGGCACGGCAGCGGGGUGGCACCGGAGCACCCCGAGGGAGCACCCCCAUGGGUGCAACCUGGAGACCCCUCUGUGCAACCCCUCCGUGCAACCCCGUCGUGCACACUGCUCUGUGCACAACGCUCUGUGCAACCCCUCCAUGCAACUUUGCCAUGCACAACACUUUGUGCAACCCCUCCGUGCAACCUCUCUGUGCAAUCCUGCCAUGCAUUCCCCUCUGUGCAACCCCUCUGUGCAACCCCGUCGUGCACACUGCUCUGUGCAGCCCCUCUGCGAGUGUGCAACUGCUCCGUGCAAGCCCACGAGUGCCACCCCCACGAGCGUGCAACUGCUCCGUGCAUCCCCUCCACGCAAACCCAGCGUGGGAGCGUGCACCCGCUCCGCGCACCCCCCCAUCCCCCGUGCAAACCCACUCGUGCAACUCCCGUGAGUGUGCAACUGCUUCGUGCAACCCCUC
This 1572-nucleotide long non-coding RNA is filed under the name Anas platyrhynchos platyrhynchos (common mallard). Its description in RNAcentral is "lncRNA (ENSAPLG00000025194.1)". Lineage: Eukaryota; Metazoa; Chordata; Aves; Anseriformes; Anatidae. The record is from RNAcentral.